This is a long non-coding RNA of Ictalurus punctatus (channel catfish), 3216 nucleotides long. RefSeq lists it as uncharacterized. Lineage: Eukaryota; Metazoa; Chordata; Actinopteri; Siluriformes; Ictaluridae. The transcript is spliced from 3 exons. The record is from RefSeq and is a predicted model, not a curated record.
GAGUGCUCUUACUGUCGGGGCUGUGACUCUACUGUGCCACCUACAUGCCCUCUCCUGUACCCUUUCUAGUGCCUGGUGCUACAGGAACAGAGGAUCCGUCUGUGUGUUGAGGCAGGAGGACUCACAAGCUACGGCAUCAGUGAUCUACAAAUCAGUGUGUUUGCUCUACAAAGCUUUUGGAACAUAUCUUUUGCAGUCAAUGACAGCCUGAAGACUGGAACCAUUACCAGAUGCUGGGUUUCUUCCCUGUUGAGAAUCUGCCAGGCCUUUACUACAGUGGUCUUUCGUUCCUGCUUGUUGUUGGGCUGUUUUGCCUUUAGGUUUUGCCUGAAAUCAACUCCACACCUUUUGUCUGCUGACUAGGUUGUGUGGAGCCUGAAGCAUAUCCCAGGGAACUCAGGGCACAAAGCGGGGAACACCCUGGAUGGGGUGCCAACACAUCACAUGGCACAAUCACACACAAACACACACUACGUAUAAUUUGGAAAUGCCAAUCAGCCUACAACGCAUGUGUUUGGACUGGAGGAGGAAUCUGAGUUAUCUGGAGGAAACCCCAAAGGGAGAACAUGUAGACUGCACAUACACAGGCGGUGCCCGCAUUAACCACACCUCUUGUUAAUGUAUUUUUUAAUGCAUCCAUUUUCUUGUAAUAAUCAUGAUGUUUUGCACCAUAUUACCACCGGCAUCACUAUCUAUCCAUCCAUCCAUCCAUCGUCUACCCCUUACUCCUUUUCAGGGUCAUGGGGAACCUGGAGCCUAUCCCAGGGAGCAUCGGGCACAAGGCGGGGUACACCCUGGACAAGGUGCCAGUCCAUCGCAGGGCACAAUCACAUACACACUCAUACACCCAUUCAUACACUACGGAUACUUUAGACAUGCCAAUCAGCCUACCAUGCAUGUCUUUGGACUGGGGGAGGAAACCGGAGUACCCUGAGGAAACCCCCGUAGCACGGGGAGAACAUGCAAACUCCGCACACACAUGGCCCCGGUGGGACUCCCUGCAUCACUAGUCACACAAAUACAAGGAAUAUACAAUGGGUAGUUUUAUGCCUUAUUUUGCCAUGUGCACUGUUAUCAUGAAAAUGAGACCCCAAUAAUACAGAGAGACUAAAACACACAUUACCAUUUAUUAAAAAAAAAAUCUGUUUCCAUCACCCUUUAUUUUAUAUUCUUAUCCCAACACACCAACAGUCCCACAUUUUGACAGACACCCUCUCCCCUGAAAAAAAAUCUCUUAUCCAGAGUGCCACUGCAGCCAUGCUUUCUCAUUUAUUAUUUCUAUGUUAUGAAAAAUAUAGUUACUAUCCAUUUUUGCAGAGAAACAAAGUUGAUAAAUCUGUUAUCAUGAGGAUCAUGAAAUAAUCCCAUAUGUCGAAAGUCAGACGUGCUAUGUUGUUAAUGAAAAUGAAUAAGAUGUUCUGACUAAUAUUUUACAGCUGUGUUAUGUGAUAUUUACUCCUAUCUUGAAUACAUUACUCAUUACUCAUACAAUAAUUGGUUUUGUUGACUAACAUUUAAACAAAAGGUUUUGGUGAAGAGAGAACAGCACAAAGCAUGUCAAACAAUUUCAAAAGCACUGAGGAUGAAUCAGAGAGAAAUGUGAGUGAUGAAAAUCAACGAAGGAUGACAGCAAUAUGGUGUGUUCCACUGUUACUUCCUUUACAACGAAUCUUCGUAUCUUCUCCAUAAUUAUCUCUGUACUCGGGUCUAUUUAAUUCACUUCCAAGCACAUCAUGGUAAACCCACGGUUAUGUAUGCGUUCUGUUUCUCUGUCUGUCUCUGUAUGCCUGAGGCCAUACAAACAGCCUGAGACAGUCUCACAGGAGCCUCAUGUCAACCUACAGCCACCAUGAGGAGAGCUACAGAGCAAUGCAACCUUCCUCUCAUCUCAGUCCCCUACUGAUUUGGAGCUGAAGAGCAUAGAGACUGACGCUGCCGACUUCACGCGCCACAGCCAUAUAGCAUCUGUUUCAUAUCUGCAAUAAUGAAGGCAUUCUUGUGGCUGAUAGAUAUGUUCCCAAUGGGGAAAUAAAAAACGGAUUUACUUUAGUUCAGUGAUACUUGUACAGGCUGAGAGACACCAAAAAGAGCCAGACAACAGAGAAUAGCUCAAGUAGUGAUUUCACAGCCUCAGCCAGAGUUGAGAGAAACCCCACUCUCGAAGAAAUAUGUAGCCAAAACUGUGAAUGUUUCCAAAGCAAGGCCUGAUCAUUGUCCAAUGAUACAAAGUUAUGACACUGAAACCUCUUGUAAGUCUGCUUAUGGUGCAAGUGGAUGGUUUUUAUUUCUGUUAUUUCAGUGAAAUAUUUCCUCUGACUGUCCUGUUCUGUAAUGCUCUGUCCCCUUGCAGUGUCUUACACUAACCAAGAGCCUCCAUCAAAGCAGAAUGAACCCUCCAACAAAGCAGAAUGAACCCUUCAUCAGAACACAAUGAACCCCCAAUAGUAAGUCAGUUAGAUGUCCAAGUUAGAAUUAUGUAUCAUUUAUGUACAUAAUAUACCAAACUGACUGUCAGCUGUGAGAUAUCAUUGAAAAUAUUGGUGGAAGAAUGUGUUCUCUGAUUGGCUGUUCAAGUCUGAGUGACCCGCAGAAAAAGUAACACGUGAGUUGAGAUUUUCGGAACUUUAUGCAAAUUAGAUACAACGCUGUAAAGCAUAUGCGUAAGCGUAUGCCUGCAAUAAAUACCUAUAUACUUCCGAUUGACUUCAAGAUAUUAUUACUAGUCUAUAAAUCACUUAAUUGUGCAGGAUAUUUACAGUAUCUGAUAUGCUGCAGCAAUACGAACCAAGCAGAACUCUCAGAUCAUUAGAAAGUAGUCAGUUAGUCCUGUGUAAGGUCACGACUAAGCAAGGAGAGGCAGUGGUUAGCUACUAUGUGCUCUUAAAUGGAACUAACUGACAGAGAACAAUCGAAAAGCCCAGACACAAGACACUUUAAAAUCCAGACUCAAAACGUUCAUAUCUGAACAGGUUUUCAGCUCACAUUAAAACACUGUACUUUUAGCUCUACAGCACUACUGCGCUUCUGUCCUGUAACACCACAUUAUCAUUCUAAUCAUUCUAAUUUUAUAAUUCAUUUUUAAUUUCUCGUCAUUAAGUCGAUUGCUUUCAUCCCCUUUUAAUCAAGUUCUUCAUUUCUAUUCUUAUUUUCUAAUUUAUUUUCUUUUGCACUUUAAUCCUUUAUCCUUUAAUGCCCUUUGCCUUCAUUUCCAUUGUA